UACAGAGGUCCCAAGCGUUGCUCGGAUUCACUGGGCGUAAAGGGUGCGUAGGCGGUCGGGUAAGUCUGAUGUGAAAUCUCACAGCUUAACUGUGAAACUGCAUUGGAUACUAUCCGGCUCGAGGAAUGGAGGGGAGACUGGAAUACUUGGUGUAGCAGUGAAAUGCGUAGAUAUCAAGUGGAACACCAGUGGCGAGGGCGAGUCUCUGGACAUUUCCUGACGCUGAGGCACGAAAGCCAGGGGAGCAAACGGG
RNAcentral lists this ribosomal RNA (253 nucleotides) under uncultured bacterium. RNAcentral describes it as "partial 16S ribosomal RNA". It matches the Rfam family "Bacterial small subunit ribosomal RNA", at positions 524 to 776 of the family's 1533-position model. The record is from RNAcentral.